AAUCAACGCGGGCGGCGUGCUAACACAUGCAAGUCGAACGAGAAAGUGGAGCAAUCCAUGAGUAAAGUGGCGACCGGGUGAGUAACACGUGACUAACCUACCUUCAAGUGGGGGAUAACCUCGGGAAACCGGGGCUAAUACCGCAUAACAUCUUGGAGUGGAAAUUCUGGAGAUCAAAGGAGCAAUUCGCUGGAAGAGGGGGUCGCGGCUGAUUAGCUAGUUGGCGGGGUAAUGGCCCACCAAGGCUUUGAUCGGUAGCCGGCCUGAGAGGGCGCACGGCCACACUGGAACUGAAACACGGUCCAGACUCCUACGGGAGGCAGCAGUGGGGAAUUUUGCGCAAUGGGGGAAACCCUGACGCAGCAACGCCGCGUGGAGGAUGAAGUCCCUUGGGACGUAAACUCCUUUCGACCGGGAAGAUUAUGACGGUACCGGUGGAAGAAGCCCCGGCUAACUUCGUGCCAGCAGCCGCGGUAAUACGAGGGGGGCAAGCGUUGUUCGGAAUUAUUGGGCGUAAAGGGCGCGUAGGCGGUGCGGUAAGUCACCUGUGAAACCUCUAGGCUUAACCUAGAGCCUGCAAGCGAAACUGCCG
Molecule: ribosomal RNA, 592 nt
Filed under: uncultured bacterium
Lineage: Bacteria
Description: bacterial SSU rRNA
Rfam family: Bacterial small subunit ribosomal RNA
Source: RNAcentral